UAGUAAGGUCCUCGUAAAUAUAGGACAUUA
Molecule: non-coding RNA, 30 nt
Filed under: Homo sapiens (human)
Lineage: Eukaryota; Metazoa; Chordata; Mammalia; Primates; Hominidae
Source: RNAcentral